RNAcentral lists this ribosomal RNA (464 nucleotides) under uncultured bacterium. Its description in RNAcentral is "partial 16S ribosomal RNA". It matches the Rfam family "Bacterial small subunit ribosomal RNA", at positions 28 to 507 of the family's 1533-position model. The record is from RNAcentral.
GACGAACGCUGGCGGCGUGCUUAACACAUGCAAGUCGAACGGAAAGGCCCCUUUGGGGGUACUCGAGUGGCGAACGGGUGAGUAACACGUGCGUAACCUGCCCUUGACUUCGGGAUAACUUCAGGAAACUGGGGCUAAUACCGGAUAGGAAUCCUUUCUGCCUGGUGGGGGUUGGAAAGCUUCGGCGGUUUUGGAUGGACUCGCGGCAUAUCAGCUUGUUGGUGGGGUAGUGGCUUACCAAGGCUUUGACGGGUAGCCGGCCUGAGAGGGCGACCGGCCAAAUUGGGACUGAGAUACGGCCCAGACUCCUACGGGAGGCAGCAGUGGGGAAUAUUGCACAAUGGGCGGAAGCCUGAUGCAGCAACGCCGCGUGCGGGAUGACGGCCUUCGGGUUGUAAACCGCUUUCAGCAGGGGCGAAGCGUUUGUGACGGUACCUGCAGAAGAAGCACCGGCUAACUACGUG